CUAAUUGCCUUUUUUAUCCACUUUUUCGUUGCUUCUUUCAUCUUUCAAUUUUUUGUGUAUUAUUCAAAUUAGCUUGUCAAAUGCAUUUUUCCUCUCUUGUUGAUCCUGUUGAAUGAUUAUUAGGAUAAUGAGGAUGAUGUACCAGUAAUCCUAUGCUUCAUUUAAUUCAAAGUUUUUCACUGUUGAUGCAAAAUACACCAAAACGUGAUUUGUCAGUCAACUUAUCAUCAACUUUUGUAAUUCUUGACGCAUUUUCACUCUUUUUUUCAACUUGCAAUGCAAAUUAUCAUUCAGAUUUUCUCAGACGAAUGGAAACAUCUACCUUCUUAUCUAAUUGUUCAUUUUUCACCAUGACCGCCAUCACCAUUAGUAUCCACCAUAAUAAGCUGAAAUUUUCAACUUUACACCAAAACUCUUGACUACACACAAAAGUCCAUUGAACGAAAGAUAAUUUAUAAAUAACUCAUUAAGUUUCUUUCUACUUCAGCUAACUAACUUUAACUAACCAUGCUAGAAAUAUUCAGUCAUUAAUAUUCAUUGAAGUAAUCUGAGAUAAAAAAAAAAGAAAUUCUAGCAAAGUAAAGGAUGAUGAACAUGAAAGAAUCAAUUGAAAUUCACUGGAAAAGAUGUUGCUUUUCAUCUUUCAUUUCUUUUUCUUCUUUCUCUUCUUCAUCAUCUUCCUUGCCUCUGUUCAUUCACUUCAUAUUAUAAUACAUAUCAGGGAAAAAAAGAGACAGGAAACUAAAUGGGAGUAUGAAUGUGUUAUUCAUAUUUAUCAAAUAUACAAAUAAUAAAUAUAUGUUGUAUAUCUAAAUUCAUAUCCAUAUAAUAUUCAAAUAAUUUGAAAAUA
This is a non-coding RNA of Tetranychus urticae (two-spotted spider mite), 850 nucleotides long. NCBI's taxonomy places the organism in Eukaryota, Metazoa, Arthropoda, Arachnida, Trombidiformes, Tetranychidae. The record is from RefSeq and is a predicted model, not a curated record.